RNAcentral lists this ribosomal RNA (253 nucleotides) under uncultured bacterium. RNAcentral describes it as "partial 16S ribosomal RNA". It matches the Rfam family "Bacterial small subunit ribosomal RNA", at positions 524 to 776 of the family's 1533-position model. The record is from RNAcentral.
UACGUAGGGGGCAAGCGUUGUCCGGAUUUAUUGGGCGUAAAGAGCGUGUAGGCGGCUGGGUAGGUCUGCUGUGAAAACUCGAGGCUCAACCUCGGGACGUCGGCGGAAACCCUCCAGCUAGAGUCCGGAAGAGGAGAAUGGAAUUCCUGGUGUAGCGGUGAAAUGCGCAGAUAUCAGGAAGAACACCCGUGGCGAAGGCGGUUCUCUGGGACGGUACUGACGCUGAGACGCGAAAGCGUGGGGAGCGAACAGG